This 12587-nucleotide long non-coding RNA is filed under the name Triticum aestivum (bread wheat). Its description in RNAcentral is "long non-coding RNA (TAES_LNC026343)". Lineage: Eukaryota; Viridiplantae; Streptophyta; Magnoliopsida; Poales; Poaceae. The record is from RNAcentral.
GAUCUCAUCACCGACACCACCGUGGUGAGCCUCUUGUUCUUAUCUUCUUUCUGAAAGGAAAAAUAUUCUUACUUGUAUGUUUAGAUAGAUACUUGUAUCAUUUUCUUACAUUUAUUAUUGCAUCUUAUAUAGUGCGAUGGUUUUGGUAUGCGCCCCCGUCGGCCCUCGUCCUGUCUAUGAUUCGGAUGUGGUAUGUAUAUUAUCUUUAUAACUAUUGGUUCAUUUAUUGUUUAUGAAAAUUAUGCCGACCAACGUGACAUAAAUUUUACUUAUCUAGGAUGUAUGUGAAUCGGAAAUGCCAACCGACCCUAUUGUUGAGAGGUUAAAUUUAGUUGAAGAAGAAAACAAUUUUUUGAAGGAAAAAAUAAAAAAAUUGAGGAGGAGAAGAUGAUAUUGGAGUUGCAUGUUGCGGAUGUCGUCGGUGAUCACAAGAUCAAGAUGGAUGCAAUGCGCUUGAAGAUUAGAAAGAUUAGAAAAUAUGCCAUUCAUACCGAGGCUUGGUAUCAUUAUGCCAUUGGAUCAAUUGUUACCUUGGUUGCGAUUAUGAUCGCAUUUGUUUCCGCAUUGAAAUGUUUUACAUAGUUUCAAUGUAUGGUUUAAUUAAUUAGAUGCUCUGGAGAGCUAUAUGUUGUUAGAUGAGAACUAUGUAUGCACUUUGGUUUUAAUGUGAUGAUGAACUUCUAUUAAUUUGGACACUUAAUUAUAUAUAAUGCACGCAGAUGAACCGGCAAUGGAUGUACGGUGACAGACACACCCGCGAGUACAUUAAGGGCGUGCAUGAGUUUCUCGAUGCGGCUGAGGCAAACAAGCAGAAUGGUUUUAUGUGUUGUCCAUGCACUGAAUGUGGGAAUACGAGGUCUUACUCUAAUCGGAAAAUCUUUCACUCCCACCUGCUUUACAAGGGUUUCAUGCCACACUAUAAUGUUUGGACGAGGCACGGAGAAAUAGGGGUUAUGAUGGAAGACGGCGAAGAAGAAGACUACGAUGACAACUAUGUGCCCCCUGAAUACGAUGAUGCUGCAACGGGGGGAGCUGGUGAAGAUCAAGAGGAACUAGACGAUGUGCCCAAUGAUGCUGCAACAGGUGAAGCUGCUGAAGAUCAAGAGGAACCAGACGAUGUGCCCGAUGAUGAUGAUCUCCGCCGGGUCAUUGUCGAUGCAAGGACGCAAUGCAUUAGUCAAAAGGAGAAGCUGAAGUUCGAUCGCAUGUUAGAGGAUCACAGAAAAGGGUUAUACCCCAAUUGCGAAGAUGGCAACACAAAGCUCGGUACUGUACUGGAAUUGCUGCAGUGGAAGGCAGAGAAUGCUGUGGCUGACAAAGGAUUUGAGAAGCUACUGAAAAUAUUGAAGAAGAAGCUUCCAAAGGAUAACGAAUUGCCCGACAGUACAUACGCAGCAAAGAAGGUCGUAUGCCCUCUAGGAUUGGAGGUGGAGAAGAUACAUGCAUGCCCUAAUGACUGCAUCCUCUACCGCGGUGCAUACAAGGAUCUGAACGUAUGCCCGGUAUGCGGUGCAUUGCGGUAUAAGAUCAGACGAGAUGACCCUGGUGAUGUUGACGGCGAGCCCCCCACGAAGAGGGUUCCUGCAAAGGUGAUGUGGUAUGCUCCUAUAAUACCACGGUUGAAAUGUCUGUUCAAAAACGAAGAGCAUGCCAAGUUGAUGCGAUGGCACAGUGAGAACCGAAAGAAAGAUGGGAAGUUGAGAGCACCCGCUGACGGGUCGCAGUGGAGAAAAAUCGAGAGAAAGUACUGGGAUGAGUUUGCAAAGGACCCAAGGAAUGUAUGGUUUGCUUUAAGCGCGGAUGACAUUAAUCCUUUCCGGGAGCAGAGCAGCAAUCACAGCACCUGGCCCGUGACUCUAUGUAUGUAUAACCUUCCUCCUUGGAUGUGCAUGAAGCGGAAGUUCAUUAUGAUGCCAGUUCUCAUCCAAGGCCCUAAGCAACCCGGCAACGAAAUUGAUGUGUACCUAAGGCCAUUAGUUGAAGAACUUUUACAGCUGUGGAAUGAAAACGGUGUACGUACGUGGGAUGAGCACAGACAGGAGGAAUUUAACCUUAAGGCGUUGCUGUUCGUGACCAUCAACGAUUGGCCCGCUCUCAGUAACCUUUCAGGACAGACAAACAAAGGAUACCACGCAUGCACGCACUGUUUAGAUGACACUGAAAGUAUAUACCUGGACAAAUGCAGGAAGAAUGUGUACCUGGGCCAUCGUCGAUUUCUUCUGACCAACCAUCAAUGUCGAAAGAAAGGCAAGCAUUUCAAAGGCGGGGCAGAUCACCGGAAGAAGCCCGCCAUGUGCACCGGUGAUCACGUGCUUGCUAUGGUGAAUGAUUUACACUACGUAAUCUUUGGAAAGGGUCCCGGUGGACUAGCUGUUCCGAAUGACGCUGAGGGACACGCACCCAUGUGGAAGAAGAAAUCUAUAUUUUGGGACCUACCCUACUGGAAAGACCUAGAGGUCCGCUCCUCAAUCGACGUGAUGCACGUGACGAAGAACCUUUGCGUGAACCUGCUAGGCUUCUUGGGCGUGUAUGGGAAGACAAAAGAUACACCUGAGGCACGGGAGGACCUGCAACGUUUGCACGAAAAAGACGGCAUGCCUCCGAAGCAGUAUAAAGGUCCUGCUAGCUACGCUCUUACGAAAGAAGAGAAAGAAACCUUCUUUGAAUGCCUGCUCAGUAUGAAGGUCAUGACUGGCUUCUCGUCGAAUAUAAGGGGAAUAAUAAAUAUGCCAGAGAAAAAGUUUCAGAACCUAAAGUCUCAUGACUGCCACGUGAUUAUGACGCAACUGCUUCCGGUUGCAUUGAGGGGGCUUCUACCGGAAAACAUCCGAUUAGCCAUUGUGAAGCUAUGUGCAUUCCUCAAUGCAAUCUCUCAGAAGGUGAUCGAUCCAGAAACCGUACCAAGGCUAAGGAGUGAUGUGGCGCAAUGUCUUGUCAGUUUCGAGCUGGUGUUCCCACCAUCCUUCUUCAAUAUCAUGAUGCACGUCCUAGUUCACAAUAUACACUAAUAUUAUCCGCUACACGAACUAUGCGCUAAAAUGCCUCCUAAAUUAAAUUAACACUGAAAUUCACAACGAACACUAAUAUUAUCCGCUACACGAACUAUGUGCUAAUAUUUACAUAAUAUUUGUGACGACGUGAUUAUACCUUCGAAGUGUGUGUCCGCUUCUUGCUUCUCUCUUUGACUCAGCGGCACCGGCCACCUCGCGAAGUACUUGCACCACCGGAGAACGACAACGCCGCCCCCGACGACCGGAGGUUCAACUCCGGUCAGCCCCCAACCUGCUCCUCCUCCUCAACACCUCCUCCUCUGCAGCUGCUGCUACUAGUCACCACCACCUACUACCCGUCCUCCUCUCCACCAUGGCUCCUCCUCCCCACCAUGGCUGCUCCUCUACACAUCAAAAACUAUCCCAUAGCAAAAAAUAACACCGUAGGCCGGUGGAGAUUGCUAUGAUCUACCGAUUCUGUGGGUUGGAUUUGCAAAUGUGUGGCAAAUGGAGGAGAUCGGCGCGGGGGGGAGUUCUACAGAGAAGAACUGAGAGAGAGAGAGAGAGAGAAAGGGAAACGAAGAACAGCAGCGCAGGGGCGAACGGUGCUUAUCCGCACCUUUUCGGCCUACACCUGGCCGAAAACCUUUUCGGUCGAAGCCUGGCUGAAAAGGCCAGCUUCGGUCACCGGUGGGCCGAAAACGGCCCAGUUCGGCCUCCUGGCACCCGAAGCUACUAUUUUCGGCCGGGCCCCCGCCAACAACAAGUUUUCGGCCCAACCGCGGCCGAAAAGCCUACUUCGGCCACACCGUGGCCGAAAACUGCCUUUUCGGCCCACUCCUGGCCGACGGGCUACUAGUUUUGCGUUUUUUUCAUUCUACGCUAUAGUUUCAGAAAUUGCUACAAAAAAUAACAUAGUUUUGAAAAAAAUUCCACGGGAGCUCGUAGGCGACGUUAGUGCGGCCGGGAAGCAGCGAUGGUGACGAAUUUAAUGCCGCGGCCGGCGAAGGGAGACAAAAAGACGAUGGAGAAAAUGGGAAAAUUUCACCUAAAACCAUUCUUCGGCGCAAAUAGGCACGCAACUCAAAUGAUGGUCCAGCCCAUAUCAAGAGGCCAAAUCUUCGGCGCCUUAAGCCGAAUAUAAGGCAUUUGAUACAGGGCACACACACACCCUCUCUGUACACUUGGUAUUAUAGCUGGGCCGGUCAAUUCUGUUCUUUUUCUGUUUGUAACGCAAAAAAUAAGGCGCGCGCUGGGAUUUCAACCAGGGACCUCCUAGUUGAUACUCGCUGCACUAACCACCCUACUGAGUCCAGAGUUAAACUUGUGUGCACAAUAGAAACUUCUUCUCUCUUCUUCUUCUGAUGUCUUUUUACUUUUUCUAUUACUUUUUCCGUUUUUCUUUUUUAUUCGCAACCUUUUUAUUGGUUUUUAUUCCUUUUUCUUUUUUCUUAAUGCUAAUUGAAUGAACCUUUUGUUUCAAAUUGUUGAACUUUUUUAAAAAUUGAUGAACUUUUUUCAAAUUGAAUGAAUUUGUUCAAAAUUGAAUGAACUUUUUUCAAAAUCGAUAAAAAAAUUAAAUUCCACGAAAAAAAUUCAAAUUUGAUGUGCUCUUUUCUCAAAGUCAAUGAACAUUUUUCAAUCAAAUGUACUUUUUUCAAAAAGGUGAAAUUUUAUCAAAUUCGAUUAAAAAAAAUUAAUCAAUGAACCUUUUUCAAAUGUGAUGAACUUUUUUUCAAAUCGAUGAUUUUUUUUAAAAUCAGCGAACUUUUUUCAAAUCAUAUGAAUUUUUAAAUCCGUGAAGUUUUUACAAAUUUGAUGAACUUUUAUCAAAUAGAUGAUUUUUAAAGAGAUGACCUUUUUUAAUAGAGAUGGUCAACAUGGUCAACUAAACUGAUCAACAUAGUCAACUGAAUCUAUCAACCGAGUUUUUUUUGUCGAGCGAUGAAACAAAGCGAUCGAAGGGAGGCAUCGAUCGAGCGCCUUGUGAGUGCCACUAGGCAAAAAUGGUGCAUAUGGCGCCAACGAGGAGGACUCUGUCACGAGUGCGCGCAUUAUUCCUUUGUGUAUGUUUUUCUGUGUGGUUUCUUUUAUUUCUGUUCUCCGUUUGUGGUCUUUUCUCUUUAGUUUUUUAUCACGUAUAAUUUUUCUUCUGAUUUAUUUUCGUUUUUUCCAUUUUAAAUUUACUUUUAUUUCUAGUUUGAUUUUUCAUAACCAAAAAAACAUCAUAAAAUAAUAAGAAUUUCAAAAAUUAAUCUAAACUUAUGAUUGAUUCACUUUUUCAAAACAAAAUCCGUAUUCCAAAAAAUCAUAAUUGAAAAACAACCAUGUUUUUCAAAAAUUGUUCAAUUCUAAAAAAAUUCUAAAUUUAAAACUUUCUUCUUACAAUGUAUUUUCGUAAUUUUGAAAGUUUUUUCUACAUUGUCAACAAAUUUCAAAAAAAAUGAACAAAUUAUGGAAAACCCGAACCAAAAUUAGUAAUUCCAAACAAAAUCAGAAUUCCAAAAAAAAUCAAGUUUCUAAAAAAAUUCAUCUAUUUUCAUAAUUUAAAUACAAUCAUUUUUCCAAAAAAUGUUCAAUUGUUAUAAAAUUGAAAUUUGUUCUUACAAUGUCUUUUCGUAAUUUUGAAUGUUUUUUCUACAAUGUCAACAAAUUUCAAAAAAAGGGAAAAAAUGGAAAACCUGAACCAAAUUUGUAAUUCCAAACAAUUUAUACUAUUUGCCGUCUCAUAUAUAUCACCACUAAGUGCUAGUUGAUUACAUGCAUCCACUCAAGAAUAUUCUAAAAAAUAUUCUUGUAUUAUCUUUAAAAAUACACGUCAAUUGAUUGAUUCAAGAAUUCACCAACUGAAGUAAGGGGCAAAGUCGGCGCUCAUCCGUAUCUUAUGACUUGUGGUUUGAAUUAAUACAAAUGACUUCCUCGCUGCAAUCUACUGAAAUGUUCAUUGUCUAGUCCAUGUCAUCACGUGAUCAGCUGAUCUAAGGCUAUAGUAGCCAGAAAUUGUUUUUCCGCAAAAAAGAUAGUAUCCAGAAUUUGUUUAUCCUUUUUUGUAGACAACAGAAUUUGUUUAUCCUUUUUUGUAGACAACAGAAAUUGUUUAUCUUCGGCAACAAUCUAGAUGAGCUGCCUAUUUUCGGCUUCAGGAUCCUUCGAGUAAUUGGGGAUCUAAGAAAUCUAUGGUAUCAAUGAGUUCAUCUCUCCAUUCGGAAUAGCUAGCCAUGGCUCAUCGUCUGGGAAGCUUCGGCUACGUCAUCUGGGAAGACCAGCGCGUAAGAUAUAGCCAUGGCUCAUCUUCGGCUACUUCAUCUGUGUACUAACUGCUCGGUCGACUCCCAUCUGACAAAGCUGAAGCACUCCAUAAGGUCACGUCGGCAGGUCGGGCAGGUGGAUGCACGGUGGAACCACGUCCCGAUGCAUCCAGUGUGGAAGGCACGGGAGCACGGUAGCGCGACGGCCUCCUCGUCCCUGCUAUCCACGUCCGGCAAGCAGAUGGCGCACGGCUUGCUAGACUCACGGCGGCGCUUUCGGCCGGGCGCCAGAGCUCCGGCUGCCUCGGUCUUUGCGGUGGCCUCUUUGCACGCCAGGAGCAACGCCUUGGGCUCGCUCUAGAGCACGGUCACUUUAUUAAUUAUUCAUAAAACACCUUACAAAGUAAUACAACAGUAAGACUGAAGCCAUCGUUUAGGUAACAUCUGUCGCUACUCCUAUUCAGUUGAUGAAGGAUACUCAUAGUCUGAGCCUAAUACUAAAUAGACCUCUCACCAAAACCUAACAUCUAAGACUUGAGGCACCAACCAAGCCACCUGCCGGGUAUGGGGCACCCACCGGUCCGACGCACACUCAGAGGCCACCGCCACCAACUAUCAUCAAUCCAUCUUCAGAGUUGUACUGACGCAUCCACCUUGCCUGACUAGUCUAGCUGCCGUCAACGCCACCACGAUGCCAAACAACGCCGCUAUCCUGCUAAAAUUUGGUGGCGUUGUUCCUUUGGUAAAGAGGCAUCAACUCCUAAGACUGAACCCCUAAAAAAUCGACCAAACAAUGCACAAUAAAUAAAGAGGACUUAACUGGUGUGUUUUUUGCUGAAGUCCUAAAAAACUCACAUGGUGCAUAAUAAGGUGAUUUUUUAAAUUGCUUAGUCGUAAUCCAACCGCAAGGUGUGAUCUUCUUUCUUCCAGCACCCUCCUCAUUUUCUUCCUCGCGAGCACCCUACUCCCAUUCUUGCCUCACCUUCUGCGUGUAAUACGAUGCAUUGGUUGUCCAUGGUCAUUAAUUCUGCCAACAUGGCGUUGGGUGGGUCCCACUUGUGAGCGAAUAGUUUAAUGAGUAGUAUAGUUGCUUGCGUAGCAUUAGGUGGGUCCCACCUAUUUUUUAGGGGAAAACGUCGUCACUUUAUUCAAAGUUCAUAGCUCCUUCGGUAGCAAUCUCCGAGCUAACACACUCAGGAGAUAGUUGGAGCCAAGUUUUACAUAGAGAUCUAAUACAACCUUCCCUAGCUAAGACAUGGUCCUACCUAUUUGACAAGAGUGCAAAUCAUAUUGGAAGGAAAUAACUGCGCACGGGGUUUCGAACCAAUGACCUGGUGGUAAGCCACGAUUGCACGUAACAAACCCGCCUCCUUUUAUAUUAUAUAGACAAAAAAAUUACGCAUACGUGUUGCACAUGAUUUUUCGUAAAGCAUAAACAUUUCGUUUCCUACAAGUACAUAAACAUUUUCGUAAAGCAUGAAAACAUUUAUAUAGUAAAUGAAUAUUUAGUUUAAAAUAUGAACAUUUAUUUAAAUAUAUAAAAAAAUUAUAUUAAUAUUUCUAAAAUACUAUGAACAUUCAUUAAAUAUGCUCCACAUUUCAAUAUUGUAUAAACAUAUUUCUAAUUUAUAAAUAUUAUUUAAUUAUAUGAAUAUUUUUAGGAAUUAUAUGAACAAGUUUUUUUAAAAAUAUUUAUUUAUUUGUGUGUGUGUGUGUGUGUGUGUGUUAUUUAUAACACACCAAUAUGAAAUUACAAAUUUGCCAAAAAAACUAAAUGGAAAAAACGGAUCAUACUGAGUGCAGCCCAUUUAUGCCCUAUUAUGCCAGUGCUUGGCUCAUGGACUAGCUAUUAGUCCCGUUAGGCGUACAAGAGGCGAACUAGCUAUGGCACGUGGCCCAUGUGGUUGGCACCAAUGUGAAAGUUUUUGAUUUUUUUUUUGGAUAUUACUUUUUGGAAGAUGGUAGUGAGAUUUUCCCCUUUGUCUUUUUGAGAAUUUUUUACAAGCUUUUUCUUUUUUAGAUGGAUGUCAUGUUCAUGUGAUACAAGAAAGUUUUUCCAUAUGGACAUGAAGGUCAGGUUUUUUUCUUUAAGAUGGAGAAACGCGUACAUAGCUUUCGAUCAAGUGGCCCGUAAUAGCAGGCCCUAACCACUAGUAGACGUCAAAGGGUGUGGGCUAGAGUUGUUACUCCUGGGUAGGGGUGGAAAUUGGUAGCGGAUAAUUCAAAACAUCCGAUAUUCGUAUUCGAGAAAAUGCCUAUUCGUAUCCGAAACAUCCGCGUCCGGACCAAAAUGGAAAUGGAAAUUAUCCGUAUCCGAAAUUAUUAAACAAAUAAAAAAUAAAAUAUGGUAGGAGAUUUUGAGACAAAUAUGGAUAUGGAAGUGGAUAUAUCCGUAUCCGAAUAAAAUUAUGGGAGGUAAUUUUCAAAAUUCUAUACCCAAUAUUCCAAUUAUCCAACAUAAAAGCCAAAUAAGUGGUCAAAUUUUACUAUUUAUAUGAUUAAACUUAUAAAUUAUUAUGCAUUACAAUAGUAUUUAUUCAUAAACCUAUUUAUCAUUGACUUAUUGUAUGUCACAAGUUGAUUAUUUCAGAUCACAUAGGUAUCGACUAAUUUACUUAAGCAAUAUGUUGAUAUUAUUCGUAUCCGUUCCGAAUCAAGAAAAUAUCCGAUACGUAUCCGUAUUCGAAUAAUAUCCGAGCCGCAUCCGUAUCCGAUAACAUCCGUAUUCGGAUUCGUAUUCGUUUUGAAAAUAUGAAAAUGGAAGUGGCAAGAGCACUAUCCGAUCCGUUUCCACCCCUACUCCUGGGGUAGGUAGGCUUGAGGUUGCUCAUUCCAACCCCAAAGGACGUGACAUGAUUCUUCAUUUCGAUUUUCUCUUUGUACCAUUCACUGAUAGGUGGGACCCAACGAUCGUAAAGACACAUAUUAUGUAAGCCGUUGCAAGUGUACCUGGCGCCUUGUUGGCACGCUCACACGCAUGCGAACAGAAAUACAAUGCUAUGGGAGCGCAAUUAAAGUUUGAAUGAUGAAGGCAUUAUUGCACACGAAAGUUAAGUCCAUGCGCCACUUUUUUGUAUACCACAACUGUAGACACCAAAAUGAUCAUACAUGCCAAUUUGAAACACCAGUAGUGCAUUAAUUCUUGUUAUUUCUUUUCUAGAUGAGAAUUAAAGUGAAUGACGAUAUAGGUCAUUACUUCCAGACACAUAAAGGCCUCAGACAAGGAGAUUCGAUGUCCCCUAUCUUGUUUAACAUUGUGGUGGAUAUGUUAGCAAUUUUGAUAGGACGGGCUAAGGAGAAUGGUCAAGUGGGUGGUUUGGUACCCCAUCUUCUUGAUGGAGGUGUAUCCGUCCUUCAAUACGCUGAUGAUACAAUCAUCUUUAUGGAGCAUGAUUUGGCCAAGGCGAGAAAUAUGAAGCUGUUGUUAUGCCUAUUUGAACAAUUGACCGGGUUAAAGAUUAACUUUCAUAAGAGUGAGUUGUUCUGCUUUGGUAGAGCCAAAGACGAACAAGAGUCUUAUAGGCAAUUGUUUGGGUGCAAGUUUGGGAGUUUACCUUUCUCAUACCUUGGUAUUCCGAUACACCAUCGUAGGCUGACAAACAGAGAAUGGAAGUGCAUCGAAGAUCGAUUUGAGAAGAAACUGAGCUGCUGGAAGGGUAAGCUCAUGUCUUACGGAGGCCGUUUGAUCUUGAUUAAUUCGGUGCUCACGAGUAUGCCUAUGUUCCUCUUAUCGUUCUUUGAGGUCCCAGUUGGUGUUAGGAAAAGACUGGACUUCUAUCGGUCACGUUUCUUUUGGCAGGGUGAUGAACUUAAAAGAAAAUACCGGCUUGCUAAAUGGGACAUCAUCUGUAGACCGAAAUACCAAGGGGGUCUUGGUAUUGAAAAUCUUGAAGUUAAGAACAGAUGCCUUCUUAGUAAGUGGUUGUGGAAGCUUUCCUCCGAGACUGAGGCCAUGUGGGCGCAGAUCCUUCGCAGCAAGUACCUCCAGACUAAAACAUUGUCCCAAGUUACAGUCAGGCCGACUGAUUCGCCUUUCUGGAAAGGACUAAUGAAAGCCAAACAAUCAAUGUUCAAUAGGACAAGGUUUGUUAUUGGAAACAGUGCAAGUACACGUUUCUGGGAGGAUACUUGGCUUGGCGACUCACCUUUAGCCAUUCAAUGUUCAUCUUUAUAUCGGAUUGCUCAACAACGUGACGUGUUCGUGGCAACGGUAUUUCAAUCUAUCCCCCUUAAUAUUCAGUUUAGACGGUCCUUAGCAGGCAAUCGUUGGAAAGAAUGGCUCCAUCUAGUUAGGAGACUAAUGGAGGUUCAACUUUCUCACCAACCCGAUGGAUUACGCUGGAAGUUGACUAGAUCUAGAGUAUUUACAGUUAAAUCAAUGUAUCUUGAUAUUAUUAAUUCGAACUCCAUUCCAACUUCCAAGUUUGUCUGGGCUGUCAAAGUCCCUUUAAAAAUUAAAGUGUUUAUGUGGUUUGUCCAUAAACAAGUUAUUUUAACAAAGGACAACUUGAUAAAGCGUAAUUGGACAGGACCUACGAGGUGUAGUUUCUGUGAUCGGGAUGAGACGAUUAAGCAUCUAUUCUUUGAUUGCCCAUUGGCCAAAGUUAUUUGGCGGAUGGUCCAUAUUGCUUUUAAUAUUACUCCACCGAAUUCUGUUAACACACUAUUUGGGACAUGGCUUAAUGGGGUUGAGCCUGACGUAGCAAGACAUAUUCGGGUUGGAGUUUGCGCUUUGUUGUGGACUAUCUGGAAUUGCAGAAAUGAUUUGAUUUUUAACAAAACAUCACGGAUUCAUUUUUUGCAGGUUAUUUUCCGAGCUACAACAUUGAUCCGUUCGUGGUCGCUACUCACUCCGAUGGAGGCCAGGGAGCAUUUGGUUACUGGAUCUAUCCAUUGGGAGAUGGUAGCUCGGGAUAUAUUCAACCGGUUUGGAUGGCGGUCAUGUAAUAAGAUAGGCAAAUAGUUUAUCUAUCUAUGUUUAGCCAGCCGGUUGUGGUGUCUUAUUCUGGCUAGUUUGUGUAUCUAGCCUUUUAGGCUCUGUGUGAGCUGCCUUUUUCUUUUUUUCUGUUGGAGACUUUGGAACCUUGUUGGUCCUUUUAUUUAUUUAGUUAAUAAGAUGGCCGUAUGCAUCACUCUGAUGCAGAGGCCGAGGAGCCCCCCCUUUUCGAAAGAAAAAAAGAAAAAAAAGAUGAGAAUUAACAAAUUUGUUUAUUUUAACAAGAAUUUGUUCAGCAAUAUGUAAUGUACAAGAUACAAAAUUGAUGACACGUACCAAUUUUUUUCAUCUUUACCAGUUUUGCAUCAGACAAUCCACAUAUAGUUACAGUAAGAGUUUGUUUAGGGCAAAUCUAGAUAUGCCUUUGUUUUUCUUUUUGAAAUGUAGAUGUGCCUUUGUUAUUACACAUUUAAGUGACUCAAUCAAACUAGAUCACUAGUAGAAAACAGGGCUUUGGUCCAGGCCGGGUCAGCCCAUUAGUCACGGUUCAGUCUAGAACCGGGACCAAUGUGGGCAUUGGUCCCGGUUCGUGAGCCCAGGGGGCCGACCGGGCCACGUGGGACAUUGGUCCCGGUUCAUCUGGACCUUUUGGUCCCGGUUGGUGGCAUAAGCCGGGAUCAAUGGGCCUCGCUCCUGGUCCACCACCAUUGGUCCCGGUUGGUGGCUUGAACUGGGACCAAAGGCUCCCCUUUAGUCCCGGCUCAUGUCACCAACCGGGACCAAUGAGGUGCCUAUAUAUACCCCCUCACGCAAGAGCAGAGCACAGUGCUCUGUUUUUUCUGGCCGAGGGGGAGAGGGCUUUGUGGUGCUCUAGCUCACCUCCUAUGCACAUGAGGUGUUCGAUGAAAUGCCCGAACCACACUACUUAAGCUUUCUCCUUUCGAAGCUCGACCUCCAAGCUCCAUUUUCCUCGAGAUUUGUCUAUAUUUAGCGGUCCGUCACACCCCGUCCCCGUCUUCACCGCCGUUGAUCACCCGCGCCAAUCUCAUCACCGACACCACCGUGGUGAGCCUCUUGUUCUUAUCUUCUUUCUGAAAGGAAAAAUAUUCUUACUUGUAUGUUUAGAUAGAUACUUGUAUCAUUUUUUUACAUUUAUUAUUGCAUCUUAUAUAGUGCGAUGGUUUUGGUAUGCGCCCCGUCGGCCCUCGUCCUGUCUAUGAUUCGGAUGUGGUAUGUAUAUUAUCUUUAUAACUAUUGGUUCAUUUAUUGUUUAUGAAAAUUAUGCCGACCAACGUGACAUAAAUUUUAUUUAUCUAGGAUGUAUGUGAAUCGGAAAUGCCAACCGACCCUAUUGUCGAGAGGUUAAAUUUAGUUGAAGAAGAAAACAAUUUUUUGAAGGAAAAAAUAAAAAAA